RNAcentral lists this ribosomal RNA (468 nucleotides) under uncultured bacterium. Its description in RNAcentral is "bacterial SSU rRNA". It matches the Rfam family "Bacterial small subunit ribosomal RNA", at positions 328 to 793 of the family's 1533-position model. The record is from RNAcentral.
UGCCCAGACUCCUACGGGAGGCAGCAGUGAGGAAUAUUGGUCAAUGGGCGGGAGCCUGAACCAGCCAAGUCGCGUGAGGGAUGACGGCCCUAUGGGUUGUAAACCUCUUUUGCCGGGGAGCAAAGUGCCGCACGUGUGCGGUUUGGAGAGUACCCGGAGAAAAAGCAUCGGCUAACUCCGUGCCAGCAGCCGCGGUAAUACGUAGGGGGCAAGCGUUAUCCGGAUUUACUGGGUGUAAAGGGAGCGUAGACGGACUUGCAAGUCUGAUGUGAAAAUCCGGGGCCCAACCCCGGAACUGCAUUGGAAACUGUAUAUCUAGAGUGUCGGAGAGGCAAGUGGAAUUCCUGGUGUAGCGGUGAAAUGCGUAGAUAUCAGGAGGAACACCAGUGGCGAAGGCGGCUUGCUGGACGAUGACUGACGUUGAGGCUCGAAAGCGUGGGGAGCAAACAGGAUUAGAUACCCCCGUAA